RNAcentral lists this ribosomal RNA (254 nucleotides) under uncultured bacterium. RNAcentral's name for it is "partial 16S ribosomal RNA". It matches the Rfam family "Bacterial small subunit ribosomal RNA", at positions 524 to 776 of the family's 1533-position model. The record is from RNAcentral.
UACGUAGGGUGCGAGCGUUGUCCGGAAUUACUGGGCGUAAAGAGCUCGUAGGUGGUUUGUCGCGUUGUCCGUGAAAACUCACAGCUCAACUGUGGGCGUGCGGGCGAUACGGGCAGACUGGAGUACUGCAGGGGAGACUGGAAUUCCUGGUGUAGCGGUGGAAUGCGCAGAUAUCAGGAGGAACACCGGUGGCGAAGGCGGCAUCCUGGACCAACACUGACGCUGAGUGAGCGAAAGCCAGGGGAGCAAACGGG